AACUAUAACGGUCCUAAGGUAGCGAAAUUCCUUGUCAGGUAAGUUCUGACCCGCAUGAAAGGCGUAAUGAUUUGGGCACUGUCUCAACAGCCCGCCCGGCGAAAUUGUAGUACCGGUGAAGAUGCCGGUUACCCGCGACAAGACGGAAAGACCCCAUGGAGCUUUACUGUAGCCUAAUAUUGGGUUUCGAUGUUGCAUGCACAGGAUAGAUGGGACACUGGGAAACAAUCGCUUUGGCGGUUGCGGAGUGGCCGUUGGGAUACCAUCCUUGCGAUAUUGGAAUUCUAACCUGCGGCUCUGAAUCGAGUCGGGGGACAUUGUUAGGUGGGCAGUUUGACUGGGGCGGUCGCCUCCUAAAAAGUAACGGAGGCGUUCAAAGGUUCGCUCAGCUUGAACGGAAAUCAAGCAAAAGAGUGCAAACGCAGAAGCGAGCCUAACUGCGAGACUGACGGGUCGAGCAGUAACGAAAGUUGGAGUUAGUGAUCCGGUGGUAUGUGAGUGGAAAUGCCAUCGCUCAACGGAUAAAAGUUACCCUGGGGAUAACAGGCUGAUCUCCCCCAAGAGUCCACAUCGACGGGGAGGUUUGGCACCUCGAUGUCGGCUCAUCACAUCCUGGGGCUGUAGUAGGUCCCAAGGGUUGGGCUGUUCGCCCAUUAAAGUGGUACGCGAGCUGGGUUCAGAACGUCGUGAGACAGUUCGGUCCCUAUCCGUCGCAGGCGUAGGAAAUUUGAGGAGACCUGUCCUUAGUACGAGAGGACCGGGAUGGACGUACCGCUGGUGUACCAGUUGUUCUGCCAAGGGCAUGGCUGGGUAGCUAAGUACGGAAAGGAUAAGCGCUGAAAGCAUCUAAGCGCGAAGCCCACUUCAAGAUAAGAUUUCCCACCGCAAGGUUAAGAUCCCAGGAAGACUACCUGGUUGAUAGGUCAGAGGUGUAAGUGCAGUAAUGUAUUUAGCUUACUGAUACUAAUAGAUCGAGGACUUGACCAA
Molecule: ribosomal RNA, 987 nt
Filed under: human gut metagenome
Description: bacterial LSU rRNA
Rfam family: Bacterial large subunit ribosomal RNA
Source: RNAcentral